RNAcentral lists this ribosomal RNA (484 nucleotides) under uncultured bacterium. RNAcentral describes it as "partial 16S ribosomal RNA". It matches the Rfam family "Bacterial small subunit ribosomal RNA", at positions 30 to 507 of the family's 1533-position model. The record is from RNAcentral.
AUUGAACGCUGGCGGCGGGCCUAACACAUGCAAGUCGAGCGGAUGAAGGGAGCUUGCUCCUGGAUUCAGCGGCGGACGGGUGAGUAAUGCCUAGGAAUCUGCCUGGUAGUGGGGGAUAACGUCCGGAAACGGGCGCUAAUACCGCAUACGUCCUGAGGGAGAAAGUGGGGGAUCUUCGGACCUCACGCUAUCAGAUGAGCCUAGGUCGGAUUAGCUAGUUGGUGGGGUAAAGGCCUACCAAGGCGACGAUCCGUAACUGGUCUGAGAGGAUGAUCAGUCACACUGGAACUGAGACACGGUCCAGACUCCUACGGGAAGCAGCAGUGGGGAAUAUUGGACAAUGGGCGAGAGCCUGAUCCAGCCAUGCCGCGUGUGUGAAGAAGGUCUUCGGAUUGUAAAGCACUUUAAGUUGGGAGGAAGGGCAGUAAGUUAAUACCUUGCUGUUUUGACGUUACCAACAGAAUAAGCACCGGCUAACUUCGUG